Non-coding RNA from Rattus norvegicus (Norway rat), 1518 nucleotides. The record is from RefSeq and is a predicted model, not a curated record. NCBI's taxonomy places the organism in Eukaryota, Metazoa, Chordata, Mammalia, Rodentia, Muridae.
UCUGCUGGGAACCCAUUUUAAGACCCAGCUAAGCCCACAUGAGACUGAAUUUCCUGGCUUCUCCGGCAGUAUAUACCAGACUCCUUCUCUUCCCUGUCCACACCAGGAUUGCCCAAGGCUCCAGAGCAGUUUCGAGCCUCUUCUUCAAUGCUUUCCCACUCUUCCUCUGUGGACAGGCUAGUCUCUGUGGAGGCCUAAAGGCCAAAGGAGUUCUGAUUUCUCAAGCUGACCCGGCCCUCCUGGAGUGCCUCCUCUGGCAAAAAGCCUGGACCACUGCAGACCUUCCGUGCCUUGGCUUUCCCAGGCUGGACCACUGAAGUUUCUGUUCAUAGCCUAUGGAUAGUCUGGGAGUCUUCUAAUCCAACCGGUCCCUCACUGAAUCUGGAGCCCACUGAUUCAUCGAGAUGAUUCAUCGAGAUGCCCCAACAUUCCCGUUUCCACUCCCCCAGCCCCAGAGUUACCCGUACACACUGUUUGCACUCAACUUUUGACCUGGGAGCUGGUCAAAAGGUUUCAUGCUUGCACGGUUAAGUUGUUUACUGGUCUAGCCAUCUCCCUAGAGCCUUUACUCCCAUUUUAUGUGUGGGAAAACCAAGGCCGUAUAGAGCGUAGUGACAGCGAGUACAGGUAACUCUUGCUGUCCUGGACAUGCUAAGUCUCUACAAGGAUGACCCUAUGUAACCCUAUUUAUUCCUCACAGCCAGAUGAGGCAAGUUCUAUCAUUAUCCCGCCUUCAAAGAUCAGAGUGCAAAGACUUGCAGAUUCCCAACUGGAGGGCAUUUACCAAAAGUUGAGAAAUAUGGGCUGGGUGUGAGACCUGCUCUCAGAGGACUGAGUCUUAAAACAGGGAGAUCCAUCUUGCAUCAAAUUCUGGUAGAUUCCCAUGUUCUAUUCUUCUUCCUUGACAUUUACAUUUACAUUUAGGGGAAAUAAGCAUCAUUCAUUCAUUCAUUCUCCUGAAAAAUGACUCACUGACCGUGCUGUACAUGCCGGUCAUUGUGCUAGUGUUUGGGGAUCCCACAAUGAUCCUGCUACCUUCUUGAGGCUCUCAGUUGAGUGAUCGAGGGCAUAAGCAGGCAAGCGGUGACCUCACAGAGACCAGGUGGAGUCUGUCUCAAGGGUCCCUGAGCAUAUGGUGUCCUAUCUCCUUCCGACUGGGGAGGAAGUACCAGCUCCGGUAUAUUUUAUGGGAAUAAUGGCUUGCCUGAGGUGAGAGGACAAGUUGACAGGGAUUCAAGACACUUCCUCAGUCUUAGAAUCCCGGCCCCGUUCCUUGAUUCUUGCAGAAGGAAAGGGGUUGCAACCUGAGUGCUGGUCAAUCAAGUAAGAGCUAGAAAUAAAAGGUGUCCAGCCAGGAAAGAAAGAAGGGCGUGGCCACUGCUGAUGCCAAAGUCUUACAUAUGGGAGUUCCUAAGGGAUUUACAGAACUGUUUUGAGUAACAACAACAACAACAACUACUACUACUACUACUACUACUACUACUACUACUACUACUACUACUACUACUACAACCAAAA